Molecule: long non-coding RNA, 467 nt
Filed under: Nicotiana tabacum (common tobacco)
Lineage: Eukaryota; Viridiplantae; Streptophyta; Magnoliopsida; Solanales; Solanaceae
Description: long non-coding RNA (NTAB_LNC006261)
Source: RNAcentral
CCCGCGAAACUUUCUUGUCCCUCGAGAACUCUCCUCAGCAGACCUAUAUCUCUCUCUCACUGAAGACCUCGGAAGCUAUUUGUAGAAGCAGAAGAACCCAUGGUGGACGGCCAAAUCAGUGUACAUGCUAUUGACUCCUUUAAUUCGGAUUCCUGGAUUAUCUCUUUUAUGCAGGUUUUUAGUAUUUGUUUUUCUCUCUCUUUUCUUUAUAGAUUGACUUGAAUGUUCAGUUUUCCCCUGUUUAGACCAUAUGCUUUUGAUUUACGACUCUCUUUUUUUUUUUUGCUUUAUCUUUUUCGAAACAGACUUGAAAAGGGUUUCUUCGAUGGCGGAUAAUUUGAUGAAUGGUGUAGUAAUGGAUCUUGAUUUGAACCAGGAGCCUAUGGAGUCAUCUUCUGGUACUGCUUUAGGAUUAGGGUCUUUGUUGAAUGAUUUGGAAACUGCUAGUAGGAUAGAGCAAAGAAUUC